CUUUUUGGUCUUUCCUGCUGCCUUGUGAAGAAGGUGCUUGUUUCUUCUUUGCCUUCUGCCAUGAUUGCCAUGUGAAUCGCACCCCUGGAACUGUGCAGGGCCCACCUGUGUGGCCACACGCAGUGACCCUGAGCAAAGGAGUGACCACAGAAGUGCAUGGCAAAGCAGAAAGGUGUGACGUCUUGGAGGACGCGGGAGGAAAGCACGCCCAGCGGACAGGAGCCAUCACGCGGCUGCGGGCUGCUGCUGAGAACCUGGCGUGGGCCACCGUCGUCAGCAGCGUGGAGGUAACUGACGACCUUGGCCAAGAAGUUGGGUGGCAGCGUGGAGGUCAUGCUCAGAGACACUUGUUAUUGCAGUCAGAGUCCAUCUGGAUAAUCCUGGAUAAAUCUCAUCUGGAGAUCCUUCACCAGAUCACAUCGGCAAUGACCUGUUCCCCAAAUAAGGCCCUGUGCACAGGUUCUGGGGGACAUAUCUUGUAAUUGAAGACGUCUCACCAUAGCGGCCAGCCGUGCAACCACUGGGCCUGUCUGUGCCUGAACAACACACUGGCCUGCCUUUGCCUGAACAAGACAGCCUUAGUCUCAAAGCUUGCAGAUGGGUGUGGCCUGGUAGAAAAUUCUCAAGACAACGGCGGAGCACGCUUGCCCCUAGGAGACCAAGUGGCCGGAAUGUUGAGAAUCAGCCUUUCGCAGAAAUCCCCUAAGCGGGAGGCAGCAGGCUGACUCCAUCAGCCCCAGGCAGGCUUCUGGGCCCUGCAGCUAUGGCUCUUCAUCCUUUUACAUGUUCUUCGAGAAUCAGCUGCACCCUGGAUGCUUCUGACAGCUCAGAGGACAUCAGCAUGAGGACAAGCACAGGGCUUGAUGGCUCGGAGGGAAAUGGAGUUGGAAGAUUUGGACUUAAUGUGCACACAUUUUAGAAAUAUCUUAACAAAUUUUAUUUUGCUGAUAUCUUUCUUUUUUGUGUGUGCCAAAGUGAUGGCCAGUACAAAUCCAUGUCUAAUUAAGUCCAGAAGAGCUCCUUCAAUAAGCGUAAGAUGAAAGUUAUGAGUGAUAAGAAAGCGUCAUGUCAGUUUAAUUGGCAGCAUUUUCUCUUUCUUAGUGGUUCAUAAAAUAA
RNAcentral lists this long non-coding RNA (1116 nucleotides) under Homo sapiens (human). RNAcentral's name for it is "HSALNT0289920". The record is from RNAcentral. Lineage: Eukaryota; Metazoa; Chordata; Mammalia; Primates; Hominidae.